Molecule: non-coding RNA, 13048 nt
Organism: Xyrichtys novacula (pearly razorfish)
Lineage: Eukaryota; Metazoa; Chordata; Actinopteri; Labriformes; Labridae
Source: the annotation of a GenBank genome assembly
GGGGGGGCGACACGGCUCGGGCCCGCCAGUGCCCCAACGGGGUCCUAGUUAUUAUUUUUCCUCCCCUUUGAACUGGAAAAUGGCCCACUUCCCACUGGCGAAAACUCAUGAAAUUUGGCAGGACAACCGGGCCUGGUGAAAUAUUUGAUAUUCCGAAGUCGCCCAAACAAGAAAAUGCAAAAUGGCUCCAUAGCGCCCCCUAAGGUGAAAAUUCACACUAUUGACUGUCACGCCUGUAUGUUUUGUCAAAAUGACACAAAAAUUGACACACACAUGUAUCUCAAUAAGAUCUACAAAAAAGUCAGUGCGGGCGUAUCUGUCAAAUGUACGGUUAAAGGGUUAUUUCGCAUUUUUUGCCGAUCCGCACACAUUGCAAUUUCGCUAACUCCUCCGAAGGCUUUCGUUCCACCGGCACCACAUUUGCUCAGGCCAAUCUACACCCCAUGGCCAUUAAAAGUUAUUCAAAUCAUGAUGCUGCACCCCACGGUUUAGGUUCUAGGGGGCGCCAAAGAUAACCCUAAGAUCCACAUAUUUAAAAGUCUUAUAACUUUUUAUUUUUGCCCUCACUGGCCUCCAAGUUUUCUAGGAUGAUGCAAUGUCCAGCCAUCAACACAUUUGUGAAGGAAUUUUUACUCCCCAAAAGAGCGCCCCCCCAUGGCAGGAGAAAAAAGUCCAUUUUUUCUUGUCCCCUAAGGUGAAAAUACACAUUGUUGAGUGUAACACCUGUACGCUUUGUCAAAAUGACACAAAAAUUGACACACACAUGUAUCUCAAUAAGAUCUACGAAAAAGUCAAUGCGCGCGUAUCUGUCAAAUGUACGGUUAAAGGGUUAUUCCGCAUUUUUUGCCGAUCCGCACACAUUGGAAUUUCGCUAACUCCUCCGAAGGCUUUCGUUCCACCGGCACCACAUUUGCUCAGGCCAAUCUACACCCCAUGGCCAUUAAAAGUUAUUCAAAUCAUGACGCUGCACCCCACGGUUUAGGUUCUAGGGGGCGCCAAAGAUAACCGUAAAAUCCACAUAUUAAAAAGUCUUAUAACUUUUUAUUUUUGUCCCCACUGGCCUCCAAGUUUUCUAGGAUGACGCAAUGUCCAGCCAUCAACACAUUUGUGAAGGAAUUUUUACUCGCCAAAAGAGCGCCCCCCCAUGGCAGGAGAAAAAAGUCCAUUUUUUCUUGUCCACUAAGGUGAAAAUACACAUUGUUGAGUGCUACGCCUGUAUGUUUUGUCGUAUUGACACAAAAUUUUACAUACACGUGUAUUUCAAUAAGAUCUUCGAAAAAGUCAAUGGCCACGUAUCUGUAAAAUGUACGGUUAAAGGGUUAUUUCGCAUUUUUUUCAGAUUCGCACACAUUGGAAUUUCGCUAAAUCCUCCGAAGGCUUUCGUUCCACCGGCACCACAUUUGCUCAGGCCAAUCUACACCCCAUGGCCAUUAAAAGUUAUUCAAAUCAUGACGCUGCACCCCACGGUUUAGGUUCUAGGGGGCGCCAAAGAUAACCCUAAAAUCCACAUAUUUAAAAGUCUUAUAACUUUUUAUUUUUGUCCUCACUGGCCUCCAUGUUUUCUAGUAUGAUGCAAUGUCCAGCCAUCAACACAUUUGUGAAGGAGUUUUUUCUCGUUAAAAGAGCACCCCCCAAUGGCAGGAGAAUAAAGUCAAGUUUUUCCUGUUCAUCAUUCAAUGGCUCAAACGCACUGCUCUCUCGGCAAAAGCGAAAGGAGGAGCAACUUGCCAUUUGGAUAUAUCUUAGCUGUGUUUGUGCCCUCACUCAUGGUCCAGACUUUUUUCAAAUAGGACAUGGAGUUUUUCUGCAGCGAGCGUUUUGGUAGAAACUGCGCCUCCCGUUCAUUAUAAUGGUAAAUGACCACAAACAAGUGCGCACACCAUCUUUGGACCUUGAGUGUGACGCGAUCGGGUGGGGGAGGCGGUCGCGCUGAGGGCGGCGUGACAUGGCUCGGGCCCGCCAGUGCCCCAACGGGGCCCUAGUUAUUAUUUUUCCUCCCCUUUGAACUGGAAAAUGGCCCACUUCCCACUGGCGAAAACUCAUGAAAUUUGGCAGGACGACCGGGCCUGGUGAAAAAUUUGAUAUUCCGAAGUCGCCCAAACAAGAAAAUGCAAAAUGGCUCCAUAGCGCCCCCUAAGGUGAAAAAUUCACCUGACGCCUGUACGCUUUGUCAAAAUGACACAAAAAUUGACACACACAUGUAUCUCAAUAAGAUCUACGAAAAAGUCAAUGCGCGCGUAUCUGUCAAAUGUACGGUUAAAGGGUUAUUCCGCAUUUUUUGCCGAUCCGCACACAUUGGAAUUUCGCUAACUCCUCCGAAGGCUUUCGUUCCACCGGCACCACAUUUGCUCAGGCCAAUCUACACCCCAUGGCCAUUAAAAGUUAUUCAAAUCAUGACGCUGCACCCCACGGUUUAGGUUCUAGGGGGCGCCAAAGAUAACACUAAAAUCCACAUAUUUCAAAGUCUUAUAACUUUUUAUUUUUGUCCUCACUGGCCUCCAAGUUUUCUAGGAUGAUGCAAUGUCCAGCCAUCAACACAUUUGUGAAGGAAUUUUUACUCCCCAAAAGAGCGCCCCCCCAUGGCAGGAGAAAAAAGUCCAUUUUUUCUUGUCCCCUAAGGUGAAAAUACACAUUGUUGAGUGUCACGCCUGUACGCUUUGACAAAAUGACACAAAAAUUGACACACACAUGUAUCUCAAUAAGAUCUACAAAAAAGUCAAUGGGCGCGUAUCUGUCAAAUGUACGGUUAAAGGGUUAUUCCGCAUUUUUUGCCGAUUCACACACAUUGGAAUUUCGCUAACUCCUCCGAAGGCUUUCGUUCCACCGGCACCACAUUUGCUCAGGCCAAAUUACACCCCAUGGCCAUUAAAAGUUAUUCAAAUCAUGACGCUGCACCCCACGGUUUACGUUCUAGGGGGCGCCAAAGAUAACCCAAAAAUUCAAAUUUUUAAAAGUCUUAUAACUUUUUAUUUUUGUCCUCACUGGCCUCCAAGUUUUCUAGGAUGAUGCAAUGUCCAGCCAUCAACACAUUUGUGAAGGAAUUUUUACUCCCCAAAAGAGCGCCCCCCCAUGGCAGGAGAAAAAAGUCCAUUUUUUCUUGUUCUUUCUUUCUUUCUUCUUUUUCCUCCCCUUUGAACUGGAAAAUGGCCCACUUCCCACUGGCGAAAACUCAUGAAAUUUGGCAGGACGACCGGGCCUGGUGAAAAAUUCGAUAUUCUGAAGUCGCCCAAACAAUAAAAUUCAAAAUGGCUCCAUAGCGCCCCCUAAGGUGGAAAUUCACACUAUUGACUGUCACGCCUGUACGCUUUGUCAUAUUGACACAAAAAUUGACACACAUAUGUAUCUCAAUAAGAUCUACAAAAAAGUCAGUGCGGCCGUAUCUGUCAAAAUUACGGUUAAAGGGUUAUUUCGCAUUUUUUGCCGAUCCGCACACAUUGGAAUUUCGCUAACUCCUCCGAAGGCUUUCGUUCCACCGGCACCACAUUUGCUCAGGCCAAUCUACACCCCGUGGCCAUUAAAAGUUAUCAAAAUCAUGACGCUGCACCCCAAGGUUUAGGUUCUAGGGGGCGCCAAAGAUAACACUAAAAUCCACAUAUUUCAAAGUCUUAUAACUUUUUAUUUUUGCCCUCACUGGCCUCCAAGUUUUCUAGGAUGAUGCAAUGUCCAGCCAUCAACACAUUUGUGAAGGAAUUUUUACUCCCUAAAAGAGCGCCCCCCCAUGGCAGGAGAAAAAAGUCCAUUUUUUCUUGUUCUUUCUUUCUUUAGGGCCCGAGCGUAGCUGCUAAGCAGCUGCGAGAGCCCUCUUGUUCCUGCAUGUUUCCUUCUUUUGUUAUUAGGGCCCGAGCGUAGCUGCUAAGCAGCUGCGAGAGCCCUAUUAUUCCCCAAGUGGUUUUUCUUUGUUUCUUUCUUUCUUUUUUCUUUUUCCUCCCCUUUGAACUGGAAAAUGGCCCACUUCCCACUGGCAAAAACUCAUGAAAUUUGGCAGGACGACCGGGCCUGGUGAAAAAUUCGAUAUUCUGAAGUCGCCCAAACAAUAAAAUGCAAAAUGGCUCCAUAGCGCCCCCUAAGGUGGAAAUUCACACUAUUGACUGUCACGCCUGUACGCUUUGUCAUAUUGACACAAAAAUUGACACACAUAUGUAUCUUAAUAAGAUCUACAAAAAAGUCAGUGCGGCCAUAUCUGUCAAAAUUACGGUUAAAGGGUUAUUUCGCAUUUUUUGCCGAUCCGCACACAUUGGAAUUUCGCUAACUCCUCCGAAGGCUUUCGUUCCACCGGCACCACAUUUGCUCAGGCCAAUCUACACCCCGUGGCCAUUAAAAGUUAUCAAAAUCAUGACGCUGCACCCCAAGGUUUAGGUUCUAGGGGGCGCCAAAGAUAACACUAAAAUCCACAUAUUUAAAAGUCUUUUAACUUUUUAUUUUUGUCCUCACUGGCCUCCAAGUUUUCUAGGAUGAUGCAAUGUCCAGCCAUCAACACAUUUGUGAAGGAAUUUUUACUCCCCAAAAGAGCGCCCCCCCAUGGCAGAAGAAAAAAGUCCAUUUUUUCUUGUCCCCUAAGGUGAAAAUACACAUUGUUGAGUGUCACGCCUAUACGCUUUGUCAAAAUGACACAAAAAUUGACACACACAUGUAACUCAAUAAGAUCUACGAAAAAGUCAAUGCGCGCGUAUCUGUCAAAUGUACGGUUAAAGGGUUAUUCCGCAUUUUUUGCCGAUCCGCACACAUUGGAAUGUGGCUAACUCCUCCUAAGGCUUUCGUUCCACCGGCACCACAUUUGCUCAGGCCAAUCUACACCCCAUGGCCAUUAAAAGUUAUUCAAAUCAUGACGCUGCACCCCACGGUUUAGGUUCUAGGGGGCGCCAAAGAUAACCCUAAAAUCCACAUAUUUAAAAGUCUUAUAACUUUUUAUUUUUGUCCUCACUGGCCUCCAAGUUUUCUAGGAUGAUGCAAUGUCCAGCCAUCAACACAUUUGUGAAGGAAUUUUUACUCCCCAAAAGAGCGCCCCCCAUGGCAGGAGAAAAAAGUCCAUUUUUUCUUGUCCCCUAAGGUGAAAAUACAUAUUGUUGAGAUUCACGCCUAUACGCUUUGUCAUAUUGACACAAAAUUUGACAAUCACGUGCCUUGCCUGGUAUCAUUUUUUUCAGCACAACCUCACCUGUGCGAAUUUACAGUUAUUUUAUCAUGUUGACAUACUGAAUUUACACAAUGGACCCAAAUUCACACACAAAACAUAAAAUCCGAGUGGAAAAAAGUAACAUUUUUACUGUGAAAACCACAAAUAUGUGUGAUGAACUGUUUUUAAAACUUAAACUUCAAAUAAAAAUUGUAAACUUCAAAACAUAUGCAAAUUUUUAACAAAGAACAUAGUGAUUUACCUCUAUUUACAUCAAAAUGCAGGCAAUGGCCCAGGCGUUCUUUGUAAAAUUAUUUACAAAACACUGUAUAGUCUCACUAAUAUCACUUUUUAUUUAUGCCACUACAAAAAAACAUGAUGUAAAUGAUGCAUGAUGUAAAACAUGAUGUAAAAAACUUGUGUAGAUCCUCCUCUAUGUCAGUCCAUGUGUAAUUUUUCCAUAAUUCUUUGUUUUUUGCAGCAUUUUUGUUAGUGUAACUGCAGAUUGUGCUGACAGUGUCUAUGGCACAAAAAAAAAAAAAUUUAAAUGCCUCAACAUGAACCCCUGGUGGUCUCUGAGUGUGAAACCUGCUAACUGCUGCAGCUCUGUCAGCUUCAGUCUCCCAUGCAGAGCUCUGAGCGCAUGUGUGGCUCUGCACCCUUAGCAGCAUUGCUAACUCCUCAGUAAGGAAAGCCUGCUUCAUGUCAGAGUCUCUAAACUCCAGAAGAAGUCGAUAAAAGUCCCUUUCUUUCUAAAAAAAAAGUCGUUAGGGGGUCUGAAAAGUCAUUGAAUCUAACAACAAAGUCGCUAGGUUUGCAACUACGUGUCCCAGACUGCAUCCCUGCUGAGAGUCCCUCCCUCGCUUCUCAUGUUGCAGGAAGAACGUAAGCGCCCGCCCCUUGUCAAUCAGUCACCAUAUAAUUUUGGAUUGGUUGUUGUGGUGAAGUUUUCCACCAAUAGGAGAGAUGUUGUGGUGUGUUUUUUUUUCUUUUGGCAAGCCUUUUCCGCCUGUAAGAGCUGUCGCUAAUGUCUGCAUGCUAUGUUUUCCUGUCUCAUACAGCGCGAUCGAGCGCCGAACGUGAUCAAAAUAAGCAGAAAAAAAGUAUCGCGGACAUAAUUUAUCAUAACUCUGGUUUUAUUUGGCCUAUCAUCACAAUUUAAAAACUGGUAUAUAGGUUGAGGUCCUCACUUUUGAGAUAAGUUGAAACGGAGAGUCAACGAGGCUCCGUCUUGCAGCUACAUCCGGUUAAAUAUGUCAUGUGACUUGAACACACACACAGACACACACACACGCACACACACACACACUCAGAGUCUGGUUUUUAGCACCUGCAAAAACAUGCUAUUUACAUAUUUGACAAGAAUGCAGAGGCUCCUUUUGCCCCUGAAAAAAAUCAAAUUUCAAACACAACUUGACUGGUCAUUUCUCCAAAAGACAACCAUGAAGCUCCAUCCAAACCUGAAGCAGGCAGUUGGUGCAUGUGUACAGUAACCUGAGGGGAGUGAGGUGAGUGCUUCUGAGGAGAACAUGAGCAGUGAAGAUUCACCUUGGAGCUAGAACAGAGACAUGCACAUGAUUAUACAGGGGCAGGGGCUCAAGUUUUUUCCAGUCGUUUAUACAAUAUGGAAAUUAAUGUGAAAUUAAAACACAAAGUAUUAAUAGAAAGGUAAUGACUGUCCUGUGUAGGUGACAGUGAUAUCCAAUAGGCUAGGCACUCACGAGGCUGGCUGUGGCAAGUGUAAGUGAAAGCAACACGCACUGGCAAGAAGAACAGCAAACGCCAAUGAAGGAAAAGGGUCUUUGCAGUGAUGGGCGUUACCAGAGAGGGCGAUGGCCAGAGGACACAAAUGGGACGGGGAGGCAGCACGUUGGGGGGGGACGCGACACGGCUCGGGCCCGCCAGUGCCCCAACGGGGUCCUAGUUAUUAUUUUUCCUCCCCUUUGAACUGGAAAAUGGCCCACUUCCCACUGGCGAAAACUCAUGAAAUUUGGCAGGACGACCGGGCCUGGUGAAAAAUUUGAUAUUCCGAAGUCGCCCAAACAAGAAAAUGCAAAAUGGCUCCAUAGCGCCCCCUAAGGUGAAAAUUCACACUAUUGACUGUCACGCGUGUACGCUUUGUCAAAAUGACACAAAAAUUGACACACACAUGUAUCUCAAUAAGAUCUACAAAAAAGUCAGUGCGGGCGUAUCUGUCAAAUGUACGGUUAAAGGGUUAUUUCGCAUUUUUUGCCGAUCCGCACACAUUGGAAUUUCGCUAACUCCUCCGAAGGCUUUCGUUCCACCGGCACCACAUUUGCUCAGGCCAAUCUACACCCCAUGGCCAUUAAAAGUUAUUCAAAUCAUGACGCUGCACCCCACGGUUUAGGUUCUAGGGGGCGCCAAAGAUAACCCUAAGAUCCACAUAUUUAAAAGUCUUAUAGCUUUUUAUUUUUGCCCUCACUGGCCUCCAAGUUUUCUAGGAUGAUGCAAUGUCCAGCCAUCAACACAUUUGUGAAGGAAUUUUUACUCCCCAAAAGAGCGCCCCCCAUGGCAGGAGAAAAAAGUCCAUUUUUUCUUGUCCCCUAAGGUGAAAAUACACAUUGUUGAGUGUAACACCUGUAUGCUUUGGCAAAAUGACACAAAAAUUGACACACACAUGUAUCUCAAUAAGAUCUACGAAAAAGUCAAUGCGCGCGUAUCUGUCAAAUGUACGGUUAAAGGGUUAUUCCGCAUUUUUUGCCGAUCCGCACACAUUGGAAUUUCGCUAACUCCUCCGAAGGCUUUCGUUCCACCGGCACCACAUUUGCUCAGGCCAAUCUACACCCCAUGGCCAUUAAAAGUUAUUCAAAUCAUGACGCUGCACCCCAAGGUUUAGGUUCUAGGGGGCGCCAAAGAUAACACUAAAAUCCACAUAUUUAAAAGUCUUAUAACUUUUUAUUUUUGUCCUCACUGGCCUCCAAGUUUUCUAGGAUGAUGCAAUGUCCAGCCAUCAACACAUUUGUGAAGGAAUUUUUACUCCCCAAAAGAGCGCCCCCCCAUGGCAGGAGAAAAAAGUCAAUUUUUUCUUGUCCCCUAAGGUGGAAAUUCACACUAUUGACUGUCACGCCUGUACGCUUUAUCAUAUUGACACAAAAAUUGACACACAUAUGUAUCUCAAUAAGAUCUACAAAAAAGUCAAUGUGCGCGUAUCUGUCAAAUGUACGGUUAAAGGGCUAUUUUGCAUUUUUUGCCGAUUCGCACACAUUGGAAUGUGGCUAACUCCUCCUAAGGCUUUCGUCCCACUGACACCAAAUUUGCUCAGGCCAAUCUACACCCCAUGGCCAUUCAAAGUUGUAAAAAUCAUGACGCUGCACCCCACGGUUUACGUUCUAGGGGGCGCCAAAGAUGACCCAAAAAUCCACAUUCUUAAAGGAAUCCACAUCCCCCCCCAAGGCAGGAGAAAAAGUCAAGUUAACCCUGCCCAUCGCUCAAUGGCUCAAUCGCAUCGCUCUCCAGGCAACACCGUAAGGAGGAGCAACCUGCCAUUUCGAUAUAUCAUAGCUGUGUUUGUGCCCUCACUCAUGGUCCAGACUUUUUUCAAAUAGGACAUGAAGUUUGUCUGCAGCGAGUGUUUUGGUAGAAACUGCGCCUCCCAUUCAUUAUAAUGGGAAAUGACCACAGACAAGUGCGCACACCAUCUUUGGACCUUGAGUGUGACGCGAUCGGGAGGGGGAGGCGGUCGCGCUAGGGGCGGCGCGACGCGGCUCGGGCCCGACAGUGCCCCACCGGGGCCCUAGUUAUUUUUCCUCCCCUUUGAACUGGAAAAUGGCCCACUUCCCACUGGUGAAAACUCAUGAAAUUUGGCAGGACGACCGGGCCUGGUGAAAAAUUUGAUAUUCCGAAGUCGCCCAAACAAGAAAAUGCAAAAUGGCUCCAUAGCGCCCCCUAAGGUGAAAAUUCACACUAUUGACUGUCACGCGUGUACGCUUUGUCAAAAUGACACAAAAAUUGACACACACAUGUAUCUCAAAAAGAUCUACAAAAAAGUCAGUGCGGGCGUAUCUGUCAAAUGUACGGUUAAAGGGUUAUUUCGCAUUUUUUGCCGAUCCGCACACAUUGGAAUUUCGCUAACUCCUCCGAAGGCUUUCGUUCCACCGGCACCACAUUUGCUCAGGCCAAUCUACACCCCAUGGCCAUUAAAAGUUAUUCAAAUCAUGACGCUGCACCCCACGGUUUAGGUUCUAGGGGGCGCCAAAUAUAACCCUAAGAUCCACAUAUUUAAAAGUCUUAUAACUUUUUAUUUUUGCCCUCACUGGCCUCCAAGUUUUCUAGGAUGAUGCAAUGUCCAGCCAUCAACACAUUUGUGAAGGAAUUUUUACUCCCCAAAAGAGCGCCCCCCCAUGGCAGGAGAAAAAAGUCCAUUUUUUCUUGUCCCCUAAGGUGAAAAUACACAUUGUUGAGUGUAACACCUGUACGCUUUGGCAAAAUGACACCAAAAUUGACACACACAUGUAUCUCAAUAAGAUCUACAAAAAAGUCAAUGCGCACGUAUCUGUCAAAUGUACGGUUAAAGGGUUAUUCCGCAUUUUUUGCCGAUCCGCACACAUUGGAAUUUCGCUAACUCCUCCGAAGGCUUUCGUUCCACCGGCACCACAUUUUCUCAGGCCAAUCUACACCCCAUGGCCAUUAAAAGUUAUUCAAAUCAUGACGCUGCACCCCACGGUUUAGGUUCUAGGGGGCGCCAAAGAUAACCGUAAAAUCCACAUAUUUAAAAGUCUUAUAACUUUUUAUUUUUGUCCCCACUGGCCUCCAAGUUUUCUAGGAUGAUGCAAUGUCCAGCCAUCAACACAUUUGUGAAGGAAUUUUUACUCGCCAAAAGAGCGCCCCCCCAUGGCAGGAGAAAAAAGUCCAUUUUUUCUUGUCCAUUAAGGUGAAAAUACACAUUGUUGAGUGCUACGCCUGUAUGUUUUGUCGUAUUGACACAAAAUUUUACAUACACGUGUCUUUCAAUAAGAUCUUCGAAAAAGUCAAUGGCCACGUAUCUGUAAAAUGUACGGUUAAAGGGUUAUUUCGCAUUUUUUGCAGAUUCGCACACAUUGGAAUUUCGCUAACUCCUCCGAAGGCUUUCGUUCCACCGGCACCACAUUUGCUCAGGCCAAUCUACACCCCAUGGCCGUUAAAAGUUAUUCAAAUCAUGACGCUGCACCCCACGGUUUAGGUUCUAGGGGGCGCCAAAGAUAACCCUAAAAUCCACAUAUUUAAAAGUCUUAUAACUUUUUAUUUUUGUCCUCACUGGCCUCCAUGUUUUCUAGGAUGAUGCAAUGUCCAGUCAUCAACACAUUUGUGAAGGAGUUUUUUCUCGUUAAAAGAGCGCCCCCCCAUGGCAGGAGAAUGAAGUCAAGUUUUUCCUGUUCAUCAUUCAAUGGCUCAAACGCACUGCUCUCUCGGCAAAAGCGAAAGGAGGAGCAACUUGCCAUUUGGAUAUAUCUUAGCUGUGUUUGUGCCCUCACUCAUGGUCCAGACUUUUUUCAAAUAGGACAUGGAGUUUUUCUGCAGCGAGCGUUUUGGUAGAAACUGCGCCUCCCGUUCAUUAUAAUGGUAAAUGACCACAAACAAGUGCGCACACCAUCUUUGGACCUUGAGUGUGACGCGAUCGGGUGGGGGAGGCGGUCGUGCUGGGGGCGGCGUGACACGGCUCGGGCCCGCCAGUGCCCCAACGGGGCCCUAGUUAGGGCCCGAGCGUAGCUGCUAAGCAGCUGCGAGAGCCCUCUUGUUCCUGAUGGAUUCUUCUUUCGUUAUUUUUCCUCCGCUUUAAACUGGAAAAUGGCCCACUUCCCACUGGCGAAAACUCAGGAAAUUUGGCAGGACGACCGGGCCUGGUGAAAAAUUUGAUAUUCUGAAGUCGUCCAAACAAAAAAAUGAAAAAUGGCACCAUAGCGCCCCCUAUGGUGAAAACUCACCUGAUGCCUGUACGCUUUGUCAAAAUGACACAAAAUUUGACACACAUGUGUAUCUCAAUAAGAUCUACGAAAAAGUCAGUGCGGGCGUAUCUACCAAAUGUACGGUUAAAGGGCUAUUUCGCUUUUUUUGCCGAUCCGCACACAUUGGAAUUUCGCUAACUCCUCCGAAGGCUUUCGUUCCACCGGCACCAAGUUUGCUCAGGCCAAUCUACACCCCAUGGCCAUUAAAAGUUGUACAAAUCAUGAUGCUGCACCCCACGGUUUACUUUCUAGGGGGCGCCAAAGAUAACACAAAAAUCCACAUUCUUAAAAGUCUUAUAACUUUUUAUUUUUGUCCUCACUGGCCUCCAAGUUUUCUAGGAUGAUGCAAUGUCCAGCCAUCAACACAUUUGUGAAGGAAUUUUUACUCCCCAAAAGAGCGCCCCCCCAUGGCAGGAGAAAAAAGUCCAUUUUUUCUUGUCUCCUAAGGUAAAAAUACACAUUGUUGAGUGUCACGCCUAUACACUUUGUCAUAUUGACACACAAUUUGACAAUCACGUGUAUCUCAAUAAGAUCUACAAAAAAGUCAAUAGGCACGUAUCUGUCAAAUGUAUGGUUAAAGGGCUAUUUCGCAUUUUUUGCCGAUUCGCACACAUUGGAAUGUGGCUAACUCCUCCUAAGGCUUUCGUCCCACUGAUACCAAAUUUGCUCAGGCCAAUCCACACCCCAUGGCCAUUCAAAGUUGUAAAAAUCAUGACGCUGCACCCCACGGUUUACGUUCUAGGGGGCGCCAAAGAGGACCCAAAAAUCCACAUUCUUAAAAGUCAUUUUGGCCACUGCAGGAGUACAGAGUACUGCAGUUCUAGGGGGCGCCAAAGAUGACCCAAAAAUCCACAUUCUUAAAAGUCUUUUUGGCCACUGCAGGAGUACAGAGUACUGCCGGACACACACACAUAUACACACACGCCAACACACACACACACACACACACACACACACACACACACACACACACACUCAGAGUCUGUUUUUUAGCACCUGCAAAAACAUGCUGUUUACAUAUUUGACAAGAAUGCAGAGGCUUCCUUUUGCCCCUGAAAAAAAUCAAAUUUCAAACACAACUUGACUGUUCAUUUCUCCAAAAGACAACCAUGAAGCUCCAUCCAAACCUGAAGCAGAUAGUUGGUGCAUGUGUACAGUAACCUGAGGAGAGUGAGGUGACUACUUCUGAGGAGAACAUGAGCAGUGAAGAUUCACCUUGGAGCUAGAACAGGGACGUGCACAUGAUUAUACAGGGGCAGGGGCUCAAGUUUUUUCCAGUCAUUUAUACAAUAUGGAAAUUAAUGUGAAAUUAAACCACAAAUAUGUCUGAUGAACUGUUUUUAAAACUUAAACUUCAAAUAAAAAUUGUAAACUUCAAAACAUAUGCAAAUUUUUAACAAAGAACAUAGUAAUUUACCUCUAUUUACAUCAAAAUGCAGGCAAUGGCCCAGGCGUUCUUUGUAAAAUUAUUUACAAAACACUGUAUAGUCUCACAAAUGUCACUUUUUAUUUAUGCCACUACAAAAAAACAUGAUGUAAAUGAUGCAUGAUGUAAAACAUGAUGUAAAAAACUUGUGUAGAUCCUCCUCUAUGUCAGUCCAUGUGUAAUUUUUCCAUAAUUCUUUGUUUUUUGCAGCAUUUUUGUUAGUGUAACUGCAGAUUGUGCUGACAGUGUCUAUGGCACAAAAAAAAAAAAAAAUUAAAAUGCCUCAACAUGAACCCCUGGUGGUCUCUGAGGGUGAAACCUGCUAACUGCUGCAGCUCUGUCAGCUUCAGUCUCCCAUGCAGAGCUCUGAGCGCAUGUGUGGCUCUGCACCCUUAGCAGCGUUGCUAACUCCUCAGUAAGGAAAGCCUGCUUCAUGUCAGAGUCUCUAAACUCCAGAAGAAGUCGAUAAAAGUCCCUUUCUUUCUAAAAAAAAAGUCGUUAGGGUGUCUGAAAAGUCAUUGAAUCUAACAACAAAGUCGCUAGGUUUGCAACUACGUGUCCCAGACU